This 73-nucleotide transfer RNA is filed under the name Caldibacillus debilis. RNAcentral describes it as "tRNA-Ala". It matches the Rfam family "tRNA". From Rfam's summary of the family: Transfer RNA (tRNA) molecules are approximately 80 nucleotides in length. Their secondary structure includes four short double-helical elements and three loops (D, anti-codon, and T loops). RNAcentral also lists the same sequence under 1 other name. Lineage: Bacteria; Bacillati; Bacillota; Bacilli; Caryophanales; Bacillaceae. The record is from RNAcentral.
GGGGCCUUAGCUCAGCAGGGAGAGCGCCUGCUUUGCACGCAGGAGGUCGGCGGUUCGAUCCCGCUAGGCUCCA